Molecule: ribosomal RNA, 470 nt
Filed under: Chloroflexota bacterium
Lineage: Bacteria; Bacillati; Chloroflexota
Description: bacterial SSU rRNA
Rfam family: Bacterial small subunit ribosomal RNA
Source: RNAcentral
UGUCGUCAGCUCGUGCCGUGAGGUGUUGGGUUAAGUCCCGCAACGAGCGCAACCCCUGUCGCUAGUUGUACUUCUCUAGCGAGACUGCUGCGAACAACGCAGAGGAAGGCGGGGACGACGUCAAGUCAGCGUGGCUCUUACGCCCAGGGCGACACACACGCUACAAUGGCCGGCACAGCGGGUUGCCACGUCGUGAGACGGCGCUAAUCUCUCAAAGCCGGUCCCAGUUCGGAUUGCAGGCUGAAAUUCGCCUGCAUGAAGUCGGAGUUGCUAGUAAACGCAGGUCAGCCAUACUGCGUUGAAUACGUUCUCGGGCCUUGUACACACCGCCCGUCACAUCAUGGGAGUGGGCAACACCUGAAGUCGUUGCGCCAACCGCAAGGGGGCAGGCGCCGAAGGUGGGGCUCGCGACUGGGAUGAAGUCGUAACAAGGUAGCCGUAGCGGAAGCUGCGGCUGGAUCACCUCCUUU